Molecule: unclassified non-coding RNA, 391 nt
Filed under: soil metagenome
Description: partial contains 5.8S ribosomal RNA, internal transcribed spacer 2, and large subunit ribosomal RNA
Rfam family: 5.8S ribosomal RNA (bases 1-122)
Source: RNAcentral
GAUGAAGAACGUAGCGAAAUGCGAUACUUGGUGUGAAUUGCAGAAUCCCGUGAACCAUCGAGUCUUUGAACGCAAGUUGCGCCCGAAGCCAUUAGGCCGAGGGCACGCCUGCCUGGGCGUCACACGUCGUUGCCCCCCCAUCUACUCCUUCGGGAUUGCGGGGGGCGGAUGAUGGCCUCCCGUGCGCCUCGCCGCGCGGUUGGCAUAAAUGCCAAGUCCUCGGCGACGCACGCCACGACAAUCGGUGGUUGCGAAACCUCGGUUGCCCGUCGUGUGCGGUCGUCGCGCAUCGAGGGCUCGAAAAAAUUGCCGGGUUCCGGCUCGGCUAUCAACGCGACCCCAGGUCAGGCGGGGUUACCCGCUGAAUUUAAGCAUAUCAAUAAGCGGAGGA